RNAcentral lists this transfer RNA (78 nucleotides) under Candidatus Neomicrothrix sp. RNAcentral's name for it is "tRNA-Met". It matches the Rfam family "tRNA". From Rfam's summary of the family: Transfer RNA (tRNA) molecules are approximately 80 nucleotides in length. Lineage: Bacteria; Bacillati; Actinomycetota; Acidimicrobiia; Acidimicrobiales; Microthrixaceae. The record is from RNAcentral.
CGCGGGGUGGAGCAGUCCUGGUAGCUCGUCGGGCUCAUAACCCGAAGGUCGCAGGUUCAAAUCCUGCCCCCGCCACCA